AUUAGAUACCCUAUUAUUUUUAUUGUAAAAUUCAAAGCUGGAGUAUUAGUAGAUAUGAUCUUGAAACUUAAAGAAUUUGGCGGUAUUAUAGUCUAUUUAGAGGAAUCUGUUAUGUAAUCGAUAGCCCACGUUGAACCUUACUUAUAUAAUUUCUUGUAUACCGCUGUUUAUGAAAAUAUUCUUAGGUUAUUUUCUGAAUAUCAUAUUAAUUAAAAUUUCAAGUCAAGGUGCAGUUAUAUAUAAGUUGAAUAAUGGAUUACAAUAAAUUUUAUUUAUUAUGAAUACUAUUUGAAAUGUAGUUUGAAGGUGGAUUUAAUUGUAAUUUAAUGAAGAUUGUUAAAAUGAUUAAUAGCUCUAUAAUAUGUACACAUCGCCCG
This 377-nucleotide ribosomal RNA is filed under the name Congoharpax aberrans. Its description in RNAcentral is "partial 12S ribosomal RNA". The record is from RNAcentral. Lineage: Eukaryota; Metazoa; Arthropoda; Insecta; Mantodea; Hymenopodidae.